RNAcentral lists this long non-coding RNA (210 nucleotides) under Trifolium pratense (red clover). Its description in RNAcentral is "long non-coding RNA (TPRA_LNC010200)". Lineage: Eukaryota; Viridiplantae; Streptophyta; Magnoliopsida; Fabales; Fabaceae. The record is from RNAcentral.
GUUGAUCUUCAGAGCAGUAACAUUAUGUUCUCCAUCAAGAGAUUCUCAAAUCUUUUAUUUUCAUCAUUGAUGAUCAGUUCAGAACCACAGAAGUCUGAUUAACCAUUAAGGGUCAUGAGUAAUUUCAGUUUAAGUCAUCUCGUGUCUUGUUAAUCUGGUAAACAACAUCGUAGGGUACCUCGAACGUUGAAAACGCUAAUUCAACCAGAG